Molecule: ribosomal RNA, 517 nt
Filed under: uncultured archaeon
Lineage: Archaea
Description: bacterial SSU rRNA
Rfam family: Archaeal small subunit ribosomal RNA
Source: RNAcentral
GUAACACGUGGUCAACCUGCCCUGGAGACAUGGAAAACCCCGGGAAACUGGGAUUAAUCCGUGAUAGGUCACCUCAUCUGGAAGGAGAGAUGGCCUAAAGGGGUGCGAGAGCUUCUUUCUUGCAUUCGCUCCAGGAUGGGACUGCGGCCGAUCAGGCUGUUGGCGGUGUAAUGGACCACCAAACCUGUAACCGGUACGGGCCUUGAGAGAGGGGGCCCGGAGAUGGACACUGAGAGAAGGGUCCAGGUCCUACGGGGCGCAGCAGGCGCGAAACCUUCGCAAUGCGCGAAAGCGUGACGAGGUUAAUCCGAGUGGUCCCCGCUGAGGGGAUCUUUUGUUGGCUGUAAAAAGGCCGAUGAAUAAGGGGAGGGCAAGUCUGGUGUCAGCCGCCGCGGUAAUACCAGCUCCUCGAGUGGUCGGGGCGAUUAUUGGGCCUAAAGCAUCCGUAGCCGGUUCUGUAGGUCCUCUGUCAAAUCCAACGGCUUAACCGUUGGGCCGCAGAGGAUACCGCAGGACU